UCUUCUUCAGCCUCUCUGUGCAGAGCAGCCCUCCCUGCAGAUGUGUGACCGAGGAGCAGCAGGGCUCCUGGCCCCUGGUCCUCACCCUGAUCAGAGGGGCCCUCAUGGGGGCUGGCUUCCUCCUCACCUACGUCCUCACCUGGCUCUACUACACCAGGUGUGGAGGCCCCCGGAACAGGAGGCAGAGCUCCUGAUGGAUCCUCCCUUCCUCUCAAGAUGGGACUGAGGUGUGGACACCAGGCGAGAGGGACCGUCCUGGGACCUCAAUGUCACCUUCUCCCUGGAAGCUGUUG
Myotis lucifugus (little brown bat) is the source of this 293-nucleotide long non-coding RNA. RefSeq lists it as uncharacterized. NCBI's taxonomy places the organism in Eukaryota, Metazoa, Chordata, Mammalia, Chiroptera, Vespertilionidae. The record is from RefSeq and is a predicted model, not a curated record. The transcript has 3 exons.